UGCCAUAUCUACUCAGUCAAUAGAGCAUGAGACUCUUCAUCUCAGGGCCGUGGGUUUGAGCCCCACCUUCGGCAA
Podarcis lilfordi (Lilford's wall lizard) is the source of this 75-nucleotide non-coding RNA. NCBI's taxonomy places the organism in Eukaryota, Metazoa, Chordata, Lepidosauria, Squamata, Lacertidae. The record is from the annotation of a GenBank genome assembly.